This 593-nucleotide ribosomal RNA is filed under the name uncultured bacterium. RNAcentral describes it as "partial 16S ribosomal RNA". It matches the Rfam family "Bacterial small subunit ribosomal RNA", at positions 355 to 1375 of the family's 1533-position model. The record is from RNAcentral.
UGGGGAAUUUUGGACAAUGGGCGAAAGCCUGAUCCAGCAAUGCCGCGUGUGUGAAGAAGGCCUUCGGGUUGUAAAGCACUUUUGUCCGGAAAGAAAUCCUUGGCUCUAAUACAGUCGGGGGAUGACGGUACCGGAAGAAUAAGCACCGGCUAACUACGUGCCAGCAGCCGCGGUAAUACGUAGGGUGCAAGCGUUAAUCGGAAUUACUGGGCGUAAAGCGUGCGCAGGCGGUUUGCUAAGACCGAUGUGAAAUCCCCGGGCUCAACCUGGGAACUGCAUUGGUGACUGGCAGGCUAGAGUAUGGCAGAGGGGGGUAGAAUUCCACGUGUAGCAGUGAAAUGCGUAGAGAUGUGGAGGAAUACCGAUGGCGAAGGCAGCCCCCUGGGCCAAAUACUGACGCUCAUGCACGAAAAGCGUGGGGAGCAAAACAGGAUUAGAUACCCCUGGUAGUCCACGCCCCUAAAACGAUGUCAACUAGUUGUUGGGGGAUUCAUUUCCUUAGUAACGUAGCUAACGCGUGAAGUUGACCGCCUGGGGAGUACGGUCGCAAGAUUAAAAACUCAAAUGAAUUGACGGGGUCAUAGCUGUUUCCU